AGAGAGUGGAGAGGGAGUCGGGAUUUUGGGAAGCUCAUGGGGUGGGGGAAGGGGGAAGAUAAACCUGGAUUAAGAUUUUGUUUGUUUGUUUCUGUUAAAUAAACAAGCUGCAAAAUAAACCAAGUUUGUUUUCCCUACUCCUCCCAUCCCAUCCGUUUCCCUAAUUUUCCUCCCUCUCCUCCUCUUC
RNAcentral lists this microRNA precursor (187 nucleotides) under Corchorus capsularis. Its description in RNAcentral is "pre miRNA MIR2118". Lineage: Eukaryota; Viridiplantae; Streptophyta; Magnoliopsida; Malvales; Malvaceae. The record is from RNAcentral.